AUUGAACGCUGGCGGCAUGCUUUACACAUGCAAGUCGAACGGUAACAGCACUUCGGUGGCUGACGAGUGGCGAACGGGUGAGUAAUACAUCGGAACGUGCCUAGUAGUGGGGGAUAACUACUCGAAAGAGUAGCUAAUACCGCAUGAGAUCUACGGAUGAAAGCAGGGGACCUUCGGGCCUUGUGCUACUAGAGCGGCUGAUGGCAGAUUAGGUAGUUAGUGGGGUAAAGGCUCACCAAGCCAACGAUCUGUAGCUGGUCUGAGAGGACGACCAGCCACACUGGAACUGAGACACGGUCCAGACUCCUACGGGAGGCAGCAGUGGGGAAUUUUGGACAAUGGGCGCAAGCCUGAUCCAGCAAUGCCGCGUGCAGGAUGAAGGCCUUCGGGUUGUAAACUGCUUUUGUACAGAACGAAAAGUCUUGGGUUAAUACCCUGGGAUCAUGACGGUACUGUAAGAAUAAGCACCGGCUAA
This 475-nucleotide ribosomal RNA is filed under the name beta proteobacterium oral taxon C12. RNAcentral's name for it is "bacterial SSU rRNA". It matches the Rfam family "Bacterial small subunit ribosomal RNA", at positions 30 to 500 of the family's 1533-position model. Lineage: Bacteria; Pseudomonadati; Pseudomonadota; Betaproteobacteria. The record is from RNAcentral.